AGUCAUUUUCUUCAAUUUAUAGUUCAUGACAUCAGAGAUGCUAAAAUAUCCCAUGGCAUUCAAAGGCGUCACCUAGCACGGUACCCCACGUGGGGGGGCUAUUUCUCAGUAGCCAAUCACAGCCUGCGCAGCUGCAUCUGCGGGAAGAACCAGGAGCGUGUGCAGAGACGAGCCGCGAAAGCGUUUUGAAAGGAAAAGAGAAGGAGAUAUUCAGUAAGGAACCGAAAGAGUCUCAUAAUAUCUCUCAAACUGCAUGAGCUGGGAGGAAAACAACCCGACAGCAGAAGCCAAGCUACGUCGGCUAUAUUCUUACCGUUCAUCUCGUGAGCUGCGGCAUUGCUGGAGGCAACGUGAACCCGGUUUUAAACCCAGAACAACGGUGAGAAAUGAAGCGGGACGCUUUAGAGGUUCUGGUAUUUUUCUGUGUAUGGUAAAUAUGCUAGAAAAAGUUAUAUAGUCUUCUGAGUCUGUGAAAAUAGACUGAAAUGGAAAAUAGUGCAGUGUUUUGAGCAUAUAAGUGCAAGGAAUACUAUGCUAUUUAAAGCUGCUGAUGAAUAUGUUUAAAAAAAAAAAAGAGGAGUUUCUUUAUUUUUUUUCUGAUGAAUGUGUUUUAAGAAAAGAGGAGUUUAUUUUUUUUCUGAUGAAUGUGUUUAAAAGGACAGUUUACUUAGGUUGUUUUAUAUAUGUUUAUAGGGAGAAAAUGAUUGGAUAUAUUGUAUAUGUAACAUUUUGUUCUAUUUUGUAAGCAUACAUCCUUAAAGGGAAUCCAGAUGAUAAUUUUUAGUGCAGGUCUCCUUUUGCAUUAGAAGGCCUAUAGUGCAGGAGGGGUAACUAAGCACAUGUUUUUUAUAUCUCUGGAUAAGCUUAUUAAAUAUGUUGCACUUUUGUUACAAUUGCACUUUAUUAUUCCAUUUAUUCCAUUUAUGAUAGUCAUCCUAUCAGCUCAUUGUUAUUAAUCACUUACCGUGAUAAAGUUCUGAUUGUUUAUAAAAAACAGUAAAAGUGUGAAUCUGUUUGAAUGUUGUACAACUAGAAGAAAAGAGAGAUUUGAUUUGAGUUAAGAUUUAUAAAUAACAUUUAAUGCAUUAUUUGCAUUUUUACAAAGGGAUUUUGAGAUAAGACAUCUGAGGACGAAUUGUAAUGGAUAUAUUUGACCUUGUCAACAGGUCAGGUUUUUUUAGUUGGUGGACAGUGAGUUCCCAGGACCCAAACGAGAUCCCAGAUGGCGAGCCGAAGAACCUAGGAGGAAAACGCGUACCAUACACACACAUACACAUUUUUUUCCAUUAUUGAGAACUCUUAGAUACAGGUGCACCUGCAAUAACUCAGGGCCCCAACGGACAAUUUUUUUUGUGCGCACCAUUUUUGUUUUGGGGGUUUAUUCAAAUGUAUUUUGUAUUGACUCAUCAUUUAACUUGUUCUGUGUAAAAAAAAAAAAAAUACACGAGUGGCUGUUCAAACUUUGA
Cyprinodon tularosa is the source of this 1466-nucleotide long non-coding RNA. RefSeq lists it as uncharacterized. The record is from RefSeq and is a predicted model, not a curated record. Lineage: Eukaryota; Metazoa; Chordata; Actinopteri; Cyprinodontiformes; Cyprinodontidae. The transcript has 2 exons.